This is a non-coding RNA of Cyanistes caeruleus (blue tit), 1239 nucleotides long. NCBI's taxonomy places the organism in Eukaryota, Metazoa, Chordata, Aves, Passeriformes, Paridae. The record is from RefSeq and is a predicted model, not a curated record.
UUUUCCUAAAUCUUUAGGUUACUAUUUGUUUGCCAAGAUUAAAGUAUUUUAGUGAUUAUUAGUGAUUUAGGGUACUAGUGGUACUUUACAAGUUACUGCCUUUAACCCCAACUGGCUUCUGGGGCUUGUAAUUUUGAGGCAGACCAUAGCAAGACCAAGACUUUCUGGAAAGUAGACACUUCCAAGAGGUGGUGUCCCUCCCCUCUCUGUAGGAGUGACUGGGAAAAUGGCUAUAAAAUGGAAGAAAAGAGAUCAGGAAGAAUUAUCUCUAGACAAGGAUGUAGGAGAAGAUCACAGAACUCUUCUGUGGAAGGAGAAAACAGAUGCUUAAAGUGAAGUGUGAUGCAGUGGCAUCCACAAAAAUGGCUGUGGGACCUGGGAGGCCAGAUGAAGGCACUCAGGGCUAAUGAGCAGCAAUGAGCUAGAUAAAUGGGUUAAUUACAUUUAUCUGGAGAGCCCUUCUGUUUAAGGCUGGAGGAGUAAAGCAGGAUUUCUUUGCUUUGGAAGCAGAAAGACCCAGAGAAAUUUGGGCUGAAAUAGGUAAUACAACCAAGCCUUUCACAGGAAGAGGGAAGCACUUGCAAGCAAAGGGGAGCUGAAGGAUUGUCAAAAGAAGGUCUGAAAGCAUUCUGUUUUCUCUCUGUCCAUAAGGAAGGAAACUUCUUGUGGUCCUGCUGAGUGGUUUUUGGCUUUCAAAGCUCCAUCAAUAUAAAGAAAGUAAGAGUCAAGUGAGAUACAAGAAGCAGUGAAGAGACAUGAAAACUAACGAUAAGGUUGUGUAUCCAUCCUCUAAGACUGACAUUUUCAGUCCUGAAACAUAGAGUUAAGUGAUUCUCCAACUACAAAAUCAGAUGUGUACUAAGUUUUUGCCUGAGCUAGGCAUUCCUUGUAUCAUGUUUACAGUAGCAGUAUAUAAUUGAACUAAUAAUAUUUGCAUUAGCAAUAAAAUUUCAGUAGCUGAGAUUUUAUUUUUGCAAGAUGGGGCAACUUUAGAAGCCCUCAUUUCCAUAGGACAAUAAAGUACCUGAAAACUGAGCUCAUCCUGUUACAGAUCCUGAAAAGAAUUAAAGAAAUUCCUGUGGAUUUGUCAUAUACAAUUAGUGAGUCCUAUUUCCUUAAACAGGCAUUUUGCAGGUGUUUGAUUGUUCUAAUACAACAUAACCUUCUAGGAAAACUUGUUCUUCCGAAUUGAAUGACUGAAAGUUCAAAUGUUAACAAAUAAAGGAGCUUUGCUUUAAA